Long non-coding RNA from Tyto alba (common barn owl), 651 nucleotides. RefSeq lists it as uncharacterized. Lineage: Eukaryota; Metazoa; Chordata; Aves; Strigiformes; Tytonidae. The transcript has 3 exons. The record is from RefSeq and is a predicted model, not a curated record.
GGGGGGGGUGCGGGGAGGCGAGACCCUCGGCGGCCAGGCCAGGAAGAAAGACAGAUGCAGAAGCAGGAUGUGAAUAAAUGAGAGAAGAUAAGGUAUUGCUCUGGCAAGCAGAACAUCCUGUCUUCGAGAUGGGCUUCCCGAGACUCAUGCCCUCCGGCACUGCUUGUUGACCUCUCCUUCAAACACGGGACUUUGAGGGAUCAUCACAAUGGCCAAACCACUCUGAACCUACAUGGUUGUGAAAACUCUAGUCAUGCCCCCAUCAGAGUUUACAGUGAUGCAUUUUUUCAUGGACAAAUUAUAUUCUGUUGAGACCAGAACUUUUUGCAAGUACUUACCAGUUCUUAUGAAGCUCUUACCUGGGAAAGGUUCUCAUGCCUAGGAUGAGACUUGAAAUGCAUCAAAGAGCAAGAAAACUGUCAUCCCUCCCAGACACUCAUCCUAUGACCAAGGCACUGACUGGUGGCACAGGAGUCCAGAUUUCAAGUUUCUGUUCUGCAAGAUGUCUGAAUGUCAGAAUCCUGCAUCCCAGGCAAGUUUUAUGGCCACCAAACUAUCAGUUAUUCCGAAGAACAGCUUCCUCUGUCUCUCCUGUUGGACCUGUUUCACUUUGUAUAAAUAAUUAAACAUUAAUUGGAACAAGGACUUGAA